GAUGAACGCUGGCGGCGUGCCUAAUACAUGCAAGUCGAGCGAACAGAUGAGGAGCUUGCUCCUCUGACGUUAGCGGCGGACGGGUGAGUAACACGUGGAUAACCUACCUAUAAGACUGGGAUAACUUCGGGAAACCGGAGCUAAUACCGGAUAAUAUAUUGAACCGCAUGGUUCAAUAGUGAAAGACGGUUUUGCUGUCACUUAUAGAUGGAUCCGCGCCGCAUUAGCUAGUUGGUAAGGUAACGGCUUACCAAGGCAACGAUGCGUAGCCGACCUGAGAGGGUGAUCGGCCACACUGGAACUGAGACACGGUCCAGACUCCUACGGGAGGCCGCAGUAGGGAAUCUUCCGCAAUGGGCGAAAGCCUGACGGAGCAAAGCCGCGUGAGUGAUGAAGGUCUUCGGAUCGUAAAACUCUGUUAUUAGGGAAGAACAAAUGUGUAAGUAACUAUGAACGUCUUGACGGUACCUAAUCAGAAAGCCACGGCUAACUACGUG
Molecule: ribosomal RNA, 497 nt
Filed under: uncultured bacterium
Lineage: Bacteria
Description: partial 16S ribosomal RNA
Rfam family: Bacterial small subunit ribosomal RNA
Source: RNAcentral